Long non-coding RNA from Megalobrama amblycephala (Wuchang bream), 516 nucleotides. RefSeq lists it as uncharacterized. NCBI's taxonomy places the organism in Eukaryota, Metazoa, Chordata, Actinopteri, Cypriniformes, Xenocyprididae. The transcript is spliced from 2 exons. The record is from RefSeq and is a predicted model, not a curated record.
UAUAUACGGCGCUCUCAUUGGCAGUUGGAAAAAGCAUGCAGGUUUUGCUUAGUGUAGUGUUUGCGUUUGCGAUCUACUAGCUAAUAUACUUACACUGGUGCUUGUGACUGAGUGCACUUAAUACGAUUAUUUUGACGGAACCUUUCAUGAACAGCUGACAGGUGUCAAAUCAUCACAGACGAAGAAGAGAGGUGUUGAAAUUCAUAUUUGUACUCCGUUUGCAUACAUGCAGAAAGGAUUAUCGAUGUUGUCCUCACAUUAAGAAGAAUUAAAGAGCAUGUGGUGGUGCAUUAACCAUUAUAAUGUUUGGGUGCCAGUCAGGUUCUAUCAGUCUAUAUGGGCUCUAUCUAUCUGGCCACUUAGGAGUGGGUUAAGUGACAAACAACAAGGAUGUCUAAGAUGAUAAAACAUGUACACUUUUUAGAAUGUACUGAAAAAAUGUACUGCUCAGACUUUAAUUUGUCAGAUAAAUAUUGAUUCACCUUUAAAAAUAUAAUGAAAGAUUAUUCCAAACUA